This 490-nucleotide ribosomal RNA is filed under the name uncultured bacterium. RNAcentral's name for it is "partial 16S ribosomal RNA". It matches the Rfam family "Bacterial small subunit ribosomal RNA", at positions 29 to 505 of the family's 1533-position model. The record is from RNAcentral.
AGUGAACGCUGGCGGUAGGCCUAACACAUGCAAGUCGAACGGCAGCACAGUAAGAGCUUGCUCUUACGGGUGGCGAGUGGCGGACGGGUGAGGAAUACAUCGGAAUCUACUUUUUCGUGGGGGAUAACGUAGGGAAACUUACGCUAAUACCGCAUACGACCUACGGGUGAAAGCAGGGGAUCUUCGGACCUUGCGCGAUUGAAUGAGCCGAUGUCGGAUUAGCUAGUUGGCGGGGUAAAGGCCCACCAAGGCGACGAUCCGUAGCUGGUCUGAGGGGAUGAUCAGCCACACUGGAACUGAGACACGGUCCAGACUCCUACGGGAGGCAGCAGUGGGGAAUAUUGGACAAUGGGCGCAAGCCUGAUCCAGCCAUACCGCGUGGGUGAAGAAGGCCUUCGGGUUGUAAAGCCCUUUUGUUGGGAAAGAAAAGCAGCAGGUUAAUACCCCGCUGUUCUGACGGUACCCAAAGAAUAAGCACCGGCUAACUUCG